CGCCAUGGCAACACUUCACUGUGCAGCACCCGACUUUGCCAGCAGGCGUGCGUGCUUCGGUGAGCAGGCCCAAACUAUAGCACGCAUCGUUGCACACAUCCUUCCUCUUACGCACAUCGACAGGCGCCCUACCACUUGUGUGUGUGUGUGUGUGUCUUUCUCUCUCUCAUCGACGGUGCUCCUGCACCUCUGCCCCGCUCUCGCCCGCCCCACGCACACGCGCAUACGUCUUCUUCAUUUUGAAGAGGCAUAGACACCAAUGAACCAUGCCAACAGGCUGCGCGAGAGCAUCAUCAGCGACACAGCAGCCCGUAUCGGUAACUCUGGAGGCAUCGUCCUCGAUGCCUCCGUCACCUGGCGCCGCUGCUGCUGCGGCGUCCGCUGCCACUCGCUCCAUCGCCUCGCCAGUCCCACGAAGUCCUGCGCCCAAGCGCCAUGAAGCGCGUCAGGACGCUCCGCACCCGCAUCGUCCAGUGCAACCGCCGCUUCGAAUAUCGGCGCUGUCGGCCGCGAUACCGCAUCUUGGACAACUCCACCACUCUCACCGCCACGGCGACGGCGCCUCUCCGCUGCACGUGCUGUGUGCCUGCGACACCUUCAAGGGCACCCUCCCCUCAGACAAAGUCGGUGAGGCGGUGGAGAAGGGUUACUGGCAGGCCUGGGCCAAGACGCGCAGCUCCGCAACGGUGCAGUCACACGUACUUCCAGCAGUCACGGCGCCGUCGGAGGAGGUGUCGGUGCCAUCGCCCACGUCUUCACCGCUGCAUCUGGUGGUACCGCCGCUGGCCGCAAGCUUGCUUUCUGCGCAGCACCCUUCUGUCCUCCCAGCAGACGCGGUGCGGUUUCUGCACACCCCAAUGAGCGACGGUGGCGCCGGUCUGCUAGACAGCGUCACCUACGCCUCAACGCACGCGAGCAUGACGUGGGGCACCAUGCCCAACCUGUCACCGUCGGGCGGCGCGUUGCGCCUGCAGCGUGUAUACGUUCCAGCGUCCGUCCCGAUCACAGGCCCCCUCGGUGCCGCGAUCACGACGGACACCGGUGGUGCACGAAGCGCCGCACCAGCUUCCCGCAGGGUGUCCUUCGCCUGUGAUGUGGAGAGACGCGUGCUUGUCGUUGAGAUGGCAGAGGCGGCUGGGCUGACGCGCAUCGCGCGUCCACAAGACCGACACCCAGGCCGCACGACCAGCUACGGUGUAGGUGAGCUUAUCCGCUACGCGUUGGCCUACAUGGCUGAGGCUGCUCAUGUACAAGCGGAGGCAGACGUGGCCUCGAAAACGCCUUCCCUGGACAGCGCGCCGGGUAGCUGCGGGGGUGUGCGCCUGUUCCUGGGCAUCGGCGGGAGCUCCACCAACGAUGGCGGACUCGGUGCACUGCAGGCGCUGGGGCUGGAGGUCUUUGUGGAUGCUGCCCACGCCCGCGCGACGGACUGUGGUCACGACGGUGCCCGACGCGCGCGCGCAUCGACGGCGGUGCCAGAUGCUCAUGCAGCUCCGACUCAUGUUGACGACGGCGCGGGGGUGCGCCUCGCGAGACCCUUCCGUGGCGAGGACUUGGCCCACGUCACCCGCGUCUGCAUCGGCGCAGAGAUGCAGUGCAUCUUUCCAUACCUGCCUGAAGCAGCGACGCCACCUACCGAGACGGGUACGGGAGGCGAUGAUGCGCAUGCCGCACCACCGCCGCACUCUUCACUGUCGCCUGCGCGCGCGUGCUACAUCACGGAGGUGUGCUUGAUCUGCGACGUGGACAACACGCUUGUUGGUGCGCGCGGGGCAACGUAUGCCUUUGGACCACAGAAGUGCGCCGCGCCACACGCCGCUGCUCCGUUGUCACCUGCCACAGCUGCCGGUACACCUCCUGCUGGAGCGCAUGCGGACAGUGCAGGGGUAGAAGCUGCCGAGGAUGCGGCGGUCGGCACCGUCACCUCUGCGGCGCAGCAGCAGAUGCUGGACUCGCUAGAGGCGGGCAUGCGGCACGCUUCCGCACGCAUCGUGGCGAGCGUGUGGCGGCCCCUUGCCGCUGCGGAUGCGGCUUCGGCGGCCCACGCGCAACAUGCCGCGGGGGAGGCUAGGCACAUGGCCGUUGGUUCGGAUAAGGGAGAUAGUGUGGCAGAGGCGGCGGUGCUGGAGGAUCUGCUAUACCGCCGAGGCGGUGGGGGCGCAGGGGGCAUGAGCGGGUUCUUCCGCUAUCUGCUGCUGGCGCGCUACGUGCCUGGGGCGGACGUGGUUGGCGGUCUGCUUGGCCUUUAUGAGACCCCGCAAGUCGCGCAGCUGCUGAGAAGUGAGGACAGUGUUUCAUUAAGGCGGGCUGCGGCAACCGCGGCGGAGAAGCGCGGCGGACAGCGCAGUGAUGACGCGCUUCCGGUGCCGGCAGAAUGGUCCGCGCACGUUUCUGGACAGCCAACGGCGUUCCCCCUGCGAUGCCCGCGCGGAUGUCUGUUCCACACCUGCGAUGUCGUCGUGUCAGGCGAGGGCUCCUUCGACGAGCAGACAAUUCUGUCGCACAAGACGGUGGGCCGGCUGCUGGAGAUGUGCACGGUGGCCAACGCAUACCGCUUGUGGCACCACUACUGUGACGACGUGGGGGAGGCUGCGGCGGCCUGGAGCGAAAGGCGCGGCUGCCGCUGUAUCACCGACGUGGUCGUCGUGUGCGGCCGCUGCGGCUUUGGCGACUACACGCACUUGCAGUCCGCUGCGCUGCAAGCCGUGUGCACGACUCUACUCCCGCUACACAUCCCCAAUCGCUGCGUGGCGACUGCUGCUGCGACGUCGACGCUUCGGGAAGCAGACGGCGCCAACGCUGAUGACACACGCCUGCAUAUGUAUUUGCAGGACUUGAUGCAGUCGUCGGCGUUUUGGCGCGCGUGCGGCGAGUCCUCUUCUGCCCCGGAGGACGAUCAAGGCUUGAAGUACUUGCUCUCGGCGUACUGUGUGCCGCGUGUGACGGUGCUGCCGCUUACGCCGACGCUGUUCCCUGUGCCGGCGGCGAUGCAGCAGCCGUACGCGUGCGUUGUUUCCGCAGUGGCGCACUUACUCGAAGAGUCAGUGAGGCGCGUGACAAGCGCGCAAGAGGCAAGCGUGGAUGCGUGUGGCAGGCAUGCGCGGAGCUGUCUGUAGUUGCGUGCUGAGACGGGCCCCCUGCCCCCUGUGCCCCUCUUCCUCCCGUGCCGUCCGUUGCCAGCGAUAAGUGCGCUUCCCUGUUUUCCUCAUGUGCCCCAUCGACUCGGUGUCUCUCUAUCUCUGUAUGUCUCACGGCCUUACUACCCGAAGAGAAUCGAUGGCGCUUGCGCGGAUGUCGUCACACCGUGUGUGUGUGUCUUGGACGCUGAUCCUCCAUUCUUCUCGUCUCUCUCUUCCUCCACGCGUCCACCGGACCGUGUCAAG
RNAcentral lists this unclassified non-coding RNA (3383 nucleotides) under Leishmania donovani. RNAcentral describes it as "gene:LdHU3.02.0590(CDS-product:glycerate_kinase_p utative)". The record is from RNAcentral. Lineage: Eukaryota; Euglenozoa; Kinetoplastea; Trypanosomatida; Trypanosomatidae.